RNAcentral lists this microRNA precursor (203 nucleotides) under Oryza glumipatula. Its description in RNAcentral is "MIR812 microRNA precursor family". It matches the Rfam family "MIR812 microRNA precursor family". Lineage: Eukaryota; Viridiplantae; Streptophyta; Magnoliopsida; Poales; Poaceae. The record is from Rfam by way of RNAcentral.
AAAGAUCAUAGUUUUACACUGUUUAUGCUGAACGUUUUACCAUCUGUCUUAUUUUAAAAAAAUUAUAAUUACUACUUUUGUUGUUAUUAGAUGAUAAAACAUGGAUAGUAUUUUAUGUGUGACUAUUUUUUAAAAAAAUUAUAUUUUUUUAAAUAAGAUGAAUAGUUAAACAUUAGACAUGGAAAUAUACAACUGUAGUUAAA